GGGGUCUCGAAAAUUCGUUUCUUCUGAUAUUUCUAUCUUUCUUUUUGAUCAAUGCAAUGGGUUAGCUGGUACAAUGAUUUAUAUACAAGGAUGCAUAGACACAAAAAAGCGUAGUAUACAAAAUUUGAUACUGUAAAAUGAUAAAAUGUGGGUGGUUGACUGAGGAACCGCGCUUUCAAAUUAGAGUCUAAAUUGAGAAACACGAGAACUUUGAACUUGAUUAAUGUUUUUUCAAGCAGAGAAUGAGUCUUAUUCUAUGUUCUUCAUGGCAUUAUGUAUGCGGCAGUGCUAGACCUACAGAAUGGUUCUUUCACAGAACCUUCACAGAAUGACGCGUCGUUUGCCUUGAAGAACGAAUUUUCCCCAAGAACAAAGCCCCAAUAACGAAAGGAAACAACAAUAAAGGAAACGAAAAUUCUCUCACCAUUUGGAACCCUAAAAAUCGCCUCCACCUCUGCCCGGUCGAAAUCCACCUCCGACCAACCGAUCGACGAGUCGCCUCUGUGGAGACCACCUCCGGCAGCUCGAUCGAGGAAUCGCCGCAGCAAAAUCCACAUCUAGCAACCUAUCUUGCUUCCCCUUUUCGUGGAAUCAGAACGUCGUAAUCAUCUCAAAACCCAUUUUCAGUCUGCUGAGUAGUGUCCAACCAGUAUCUGAUAUCUUUUACCUUCAGGUAAGCCGAAUUUCACUUCGUAUUUUAGUUAUUUCCGGAAGCUGGUAUUGUUUGGUAAUUUUGGGAAUAUGGUGGUGUGAAUGGAAGAUUAUGAUUAUGAACGUUAGGCAAAAAUUCGAUUUGUGAAAUUCGAUUUUUGGAAACUUUAGAAUUUGUGCAGUAUUCGGCUAUGUCUUACUCUGUGAUCCAUUUCGCUGGAGGAACAUUUGUGGAAUAUGGUUGCACUAGUUGUGAUGGUUAUGUAUUCAUAUUACUGCGUUCUUGAGAAUUAAAGAAAUGUCUAAGAAAAAUUGAUCUUGCCAUGCCUAUAAUUGUUGUUUUUUAUUUAAAUAAAGAAAUCAUAACAUGAAAAUAGUGAUAAUCAUCUUUCUUUUAUGUUAAGCAAUAUACCUAAAUCCUGUAAACUUUAUCCGUUAUUUAACAUUAUUGAUCAAUCAAACCAAAUUAUCUUUUAGUUCCCUAUAAAUUGGGAAUUUUGUGGACCUUUUAAUUUGUAUUAGAGUAAGGGGUUGAAGCUUUUCUGUAAAGGAAAAUUCCAGUUUUUGUUGCAGCAUUACAGAAUUUAUGUAUUUUUUUAAGUGGGGUUGGUGGUUAUUUUGAUAAUAUGCCAAGUUGAAAGAACAAAGGGACCUUUGAAUUUUGUAGUAUUUUUCACGCUAUCGAAUACAUUGUUUUUUUUCUUCCAGGAUGAGGGGGAGGAAUGUUGGUGUCUGUCACGGCUGUAGAAGUACGAACCAUUCCUUCCUGAAUUGCCCGAUAAAACAACGAUGCCCAUGGUGUACGCAUGGAUUGCAAAAAUAUUUUGAAGUUGAAAGGGAGACAAAGAACAAAGGGCGAUUAUUCAAAACAUGCAGUCUUAACUGUGGGUAUUUUGAUUAGGUCAUAUACAAAGAAUCAAGUGGUGAAUCUAGCAUGACUAAUGAAAUAGUGAAUCUCGAAGCCAUCGAGUAAGCCGAAGAUUUAUCGACCAUGUUCGACAGUCUAGCUUGAAUAGUUGAAAAAAGAGACAUUGAAAUUUCAUUGAACGUGACAUUCCGUAAGCGAAAGGAAAGUGUCGAGGUGAAUGGGAAUGGAAAAAGGAAGGGCCACGCCCCAUAGGUAGUACGCAAAACUGAUAUUUUGCAAACAUGUUUUUGCUUGACGUUUGCUAUCGAAAAACGUAUGUAGAAUAUGGUUUUGUAAUUUAAUGUUUGACUUAAUGUUUGGUGGAAAUAGUUCUUGUUGCCAUAUCAAUAUGUAUGAACCGAGGACAGGACCAGUUGCAACUCUUUGAGACAUGAAACAUUUAUAAAAAAGAGACAAUCUCAACCUUAUGUCCAGAAAUCA
This 1999-nucleotide long non-coding RNA is filed under the name Olea europaea subsp. europaea. The record is from RNAcentral. Lineage: Eukaryota; Viridiplantae; Streptophyta; Magnoliopsida; Lamiales; Oleaceae.